Microtus oregoni (creeping vole) is the source of this 170-nucleotide long non-coding RNA. RefSeq lists it as uncharacterized. The record is from RefSeq and is a predicted model, not a curated record. The transcript has 3 exons. NCBI's taxonomy places the organism in Eukaryota, Metazoa, Chordata, Mammalia, Rodentia, Cricetidae.
CUCGGGACCUCAUGCUCUCAUGGAUGGAGCAAAGGUAUCUAGGCCUUGCCUUGCUGUCCCUCAAGGGUUGGAGGACAGCUCUUUGUUGACGGCUGACAAAAUCCUAGAGUGUCAACACACCUCUGGACUCCCACACCCAUGACCCUUUGCCAGGCCUCUCGCACCCUGGG